CCUGCCCCUGACUCUGGGAUAAGCGCUGGAAACGGCGUCUAAUACUGGAUAUGUGACGUGACCGCAUGGUCUGCGUUUGGAAAGAUUUUUCGGUUGGGGAUGGGCUCGCGGCCUAUCAGCUUGUUGGUGAGGUAAUGGCUCACCAAGGCGUCGACGGGUAGCCGGCCUGAGAGGGUGACCGGCCACACUGGGACUGAGACACGGCCCAGACUCCUACGGGAGGCAGCAGUGGGGAAUAUUGCACAAUGGGCGGAAGCCUGAUGCAGCAACGCCGCGUGAGGGAUGACGGCCUUCGGGUUGUAAACCUCUUUUAGCAGGGAAGAAGCGAAAGUGACGGUACCUGCAGAAAAAGCGCCGGCUAACUACGUGCCAGCAGCCGCGGUAAUACGUAGGGCGCAAGCGUUAUCCGGAAUUAUUGGGCGUAAAGAGCUCGUAGGCGGUUUGUCGCGUCUGCUGUGAAAUCCCGAGGCUCAACCUCGGGCCUGCAGUGGGUACGGGCAGACUAGAGUGCGGUAGGGGAGAUUGGAAUUCCUGGUGUAGCGGUGGAAUGCGCAGAUAUCAGGAGGAACACCGAUGGCGAAGGCAGAUCUCUGGGCCGUAACUGACGCUGAGGAGCGAAAGGGUGGGGAGCAAACAGGCUUAGAUACCCUGGUAGUCCACCCCGUAAACGUUGGGAACUAGUUGUGGGGUCCAUUCCACGGAUUCCGUGACGCAGCUAACGCAUUAAGUUCCCCGCCUGGGGAGUACGGCCGCAAGGCUAAAACUCAAAGGAAUUGACGGGGACCCGCACAAGCGGCGGAGCAUGCGGAUUAAUUCGAUGCAACGCGAAGAACCUUACCAAGGCUUGACAUAUACGAGAA
This 860-nucleotide ribosomal RNA is filed under the name bacterium. RNAcentral's name for it is "bacterial SSU rRNA". It matches the Rfam family "Bacterial small subunit ribosomal RNA", at positions 125 to 996 of the family's 1533-position model. The record is from RNAcentral.